UGUAAGUAUGAUUCCAACAAUAUUUUCUCGCUUUCGUGUGAAACAUGUUUGCAUGCUUAAUAUGAACUUCUGGAUAUUCAGGGGUAGUGAUUGAAACUAAUAUUGUGAAAUGUAGAAACUAGAUUUUAGGUGUGCUGACCAGGUUUUUGAAUUUGUGCGACACUUAUUCUUGUGCACGUUACUUCCUUUUGCAUGUAAAGUUGCUGUGGGCAUAUGCAACAUCUUGGUUUCUUAUUGCAUUAAGUGCAGAUGGAUUAAUGUGGG
Molecule: long non-coding RNA, 264 nt
Filed under: Panax ginseng (ginseng)
Lineage: Eukaryota; Viridiplantae; Streptophyta; Magnoliopsida; Apiales; Araliaceae
Description: long non-coding RNA (PGIN_LNC013126)
Source: RNAcentral